This 627-nucleotide ribosomal RNA is filed under the name Salmonella enterica. RNAcentral describes it as "partial 23S ribosomal RNA". It matches the Rfam family "Bacterial large subunit ribosomal RNA", at positions 1 to 668 of the family's 2925-position model. Lineage: Bacteria; Pseudomonadati; Pseudomonadota; Gammaproteobacteria; Enterobacterales; Enterobacteriaceae. The record is from RNAcentral. RNAcentral also lists the same sequence under 1 other name.
GGUUAAGCGACUAAGCGUACACGGUGGAUGCCCUGGCAGUCAGAGGCGAUGAAGGGCGUGCUAAUCUGCGAUAAGCGCCGGUAAGGUGAUAUGAACCGUUAUAACCGGCGAUACCCGAAUGGGGAAACCCAGUGUGAUUCGUCACACUAUCAUUAACUGAAUCCAUAGGUUAAUGAGGCGAACCGGGGGAACUGAAACAUCUAAGUACCCCGAGGAAAAGAAAUCAACCGAGAUUCCCCCAGUAGCGGCGAGCGAACGGGGAGGAGCCCAGAGCCUGAAUCAGCAUGUGUGUUAGUGGAAGCGUCUGGAAAGGUGCGCGAUACAGGGUGACAGCCCCGUACACAAAAGCGCAUGUGCUGUGAGCUCGAUGAGUAGGGCGGGACACGUGAUAUCCUGUCUGAAUAUGGGGGGACCAUCCUCCAAGGCUAAAUACUCCUGACUGACCGAUAGUGAACCAGUACCGUGAGGGAAAGGCGAAAAGAACCCCGGCGAGGGGAGUGAAAAAGAACCUGAAACCGUGUACGUACAAGCAGUGGGAGCACAGGUUUACCUGUGUGACUGCGUACCUUUUGUAUAAUGGGUCAGCGACUUAUAUUCUGUAGCAAGGUUAACCGUAUAGGGGAGCCG